UAGACUUGACAUCUCCUGCAUUACUCUUAAUCGAGGAAGUCCCUUCGGGGACAGGAUGACAGGUGGUGCAUGGUUGUCGUCAGCUCGUGUCGUGAGAUGUUGGGUUAAGUCCCGCAACGAGCGCAACCCUUAUUGUUAGUUGCUACCAUUUAGUUGAGCACUCUAGCGAGACUGCCCGGGUUAACCGGGAGGAAGGUGGGGAUGACGUCAAAUCAUCAUGCCCCUUAUGUCUAGGGCUACACACGUGCUACAAUGGCAAGUACAACGAGAUGCAAUACCGUGAGGUGGAGCUAAACUAUAAAACUUGUCUCAGUUCGGAUUGUAGGCUGAAACUCGCCUACAUGAAGCUGGAGUUGCUAGUAAUCGCGAAUCAGCAUGUCGCGGUGAAUACGUUCCCGGGCC
This 402-nucleotide ribosomal RNA is filed under the name uncultured bacterium. RNAcentral's name for it is "bacterial SSU rRNA". It matches the Rfam family "Bacterial small subunit ribosomal RNA", at positions 976 to 1380 of the family's 1533-position model. The record is from RNAcentral.